AUCCAGCUGACGAGUCCCAAACAGGACGAAACGCGUGUCCUGGAU
Molecule: non-coding RNA, 45 nt
Organism: Schistosoma margrebowiei
Lineage: Eukaryota; Metazoa; Platyhelminthes; Trematoda; Strigeidida; Schistosomatidae
Source: Rfam